This 479-nucleotide ribosomal RNA is filed under the name uncultured bacterium. RNAcentral describes it as "bacterial SSU rRNA". It matches the Rfam family "Bacterial small subunit ribosomal RNA", at positions 29 to 524 of the family's 1533-position model. The record is from RNAcentral.
AAUGAACGUUGGCGGCGUGGAUUAGGCAUGCAAGUCGAGCGAGAACCCGCAAGGGGGACAGCGGCAAACGGGGUAGUAAUGUGUCGGAACGUGCCCUCUGGACGGGGAUAGCGGCGGGAAACUGCCGGUAAUACCCGAUGAACUCGAGAGAGCAAAGGUGUGAUUCCGCCGGAGGAGCGGCCGACAUGGUAUUAGCUAGUUGGCGGGGUAACGGCCCACCAAGGCUGUGAUGCCUAGGGGAUGUGAGAGCAUGAUCCCCACCAUUGGGACUGAGACACUGCCCAGACACCUACGGGUGGCUGCAGUCGAGAAUCUUCGUCAAUGGGCGAAAGCCUGAACGAGCGACGCCGCGUGCGGGAUGAAGGCCCUUGGGUUGUAAACCGCUGUCGAGGGGGAUGAAGUGUACGAGAGUUAUCUCUUGUAUUUGACAGAGCCUCAGAGGAAGCACGGGCUAAGUUCGUGCCAGCAGCCGCGGUAAU